Molecule: transfer RNA, 88 nt
Filed under: Delitschia confertaspora ATCC 74209
Lineage: Eukaryota; Fungi; Ascomycota; Dothideomycetes; Pleosporales; Delitschiaceae
Rfam family: tRNA
About the family: Transfer RNA (tRNA) molecules are approximately 80 nucleotides in length. Their secondary structure includes four short double-helical elements and three loops (D, anti-codon, and T loops).
Source: Rfam by way of RNAcentral
GGUCGAUUAGCUCAGCUGGUUAGAGCGUGGUGCUAAUAGUCAUAAUCUGUUAACGCCAAGGUCGUGGGUUCGAUCCCCACAUUGACCU